UGGUGAUGAGAGACUCUAAAGAAGUCACAGCUUGCUUCCUUUCUGAAGAACGUUGUGAUUUUGGCUCACGUGCAGUGCACGACAACUCUUCUCCAACAGCAUGACAUAGUCCACUGUCUCAGGAUCCCAUUUUUCCACCAGCUGCAGAGCAGGAAGGGACAAAUCAAAGUGUGAGCAUUCGGAUCACCAACGCUGUGACCUCGCUGUGUGAACGGGAGCUACUACAGGAAGGAAGCUUACAAAUGAGCUGCAUGGAUCCCACAUUUUGCUAAAAUCAAAUAGGACCUUUCUCCUCUUUGUUGAAUGCCGUAAUACACAAGAAAUAAGCCAGCAGGAUGCUCAUGUCCAAGGUUUCCCUUUAUCUACCACACGAGUUGGCAUGAAACAACUUCUGGGGUUCAAAUCUUCUGAACAAUGAUACAAGUCUUGGCAAAUUUCAAGAAUAAUUUAAAGAGGAAAUAAAUAGCUUUUUGUUUAACUUGGAUCAAUUAUCUCCUAUUGCUCCCAGCUUCAUGCCAGGUACUCUCCACUGUGCCUGGGAAAUAUGAAUCCCUGCCCUCAUGAAAAAACAUUGGCCAUGAGGAUUUUCCCUACAACCCAAGAACUAUUUGAAGUUUGAAGUCUUUCAGCCCAGACAACACUGGCUAUUUUCACCUUUGCCUUCAACUAUAAAGGCUGGGCUCUCUCUGCAGGA
This 694-nucleotide long non-coding RNA is filed under the name Homo sapiens (human). RNAcentral's name for it is "HSALNT0309154". Lineage: Eukaryota; Metazoa; Chordata; Mammalia; Primates; Hominidae. The record is from RNAcentral.